Molecule: long non-coding RNA, 350 nt
Filed under: Capsella rubella
Lineage: Eukaryota; Viridiplantae; Streptophyta; Magnoliopsida; Brassicales; Brassicaceae
Description: long non-coding RNA (CRUB_LNC001942)
Source: RNAcentral
AUACAGUUAAAUGGCAGAACCACACGUGUGACCCUACACGUGCGAUGGCAAGUAGCAGCUCAAGUAAAGAUCGCAAGCAACACGUGGAUAGUGGCGAUUAAAAGAUUCCCUUGGCCGUUAGAAGCGUUGGAGCUAGCUUAAAAGAGCAAUGUUUAGCUCAUUCUUAUCAUUAUCGCAUUUGAUAUUUUUCUAGACUCUUCUUCUUCUCUGUAAUCCGAAUCUGAGAUCACUGGGUUUCUCUCCUCGUGAGGGCCAGUGAGUAAUCUUACCGAGUUUAAUGAACUUCGUUUGAUUAUCGUUUGUGUUACGGUGUUGGAUUUCCAGUGAUUGUUAUUUGUGUUGAUUUGUGG